RNAcentral lists this ribosomal RNA (232 nucleotides) under Salmonella enterica. RNAcentral's name for it is "partial 16S ribosomal RNA". It matches the Rfam family "Bacterial small subunit ribosomal RNA", at positions 1 to 229 of the family's 1533-position model. Lineage: Bacteria; Pseudomonadati; Pseudomonadota; Gammaproteobacteria; Enterobacterales; Enterobacteriaceae. RNAcentral also lists the same sequence under 5 other names. The record is from RNAcentral.
AAAUUGAAGAGUUUGAUCAUGGCUCAGAUUGAACGCUGGCGGCAGGCCUAACACAUGCAAGUCGAACGGUAACAGGAAGCAGCUUGCUGCUUUGCUGACGAGUGGCGGACGGGUGAGUAAUGUCUGGGAAACUGCCUGAUGGAGGGGGAUAACUACUGGAAACGGUGGCUAAUACCGCAUAAUGUCGCAAGACCAAAGAGGGGGACCUUCGGGCCUCUUGCCAUCAGAUGUG